Cylas formicarius (sweet potato weevil) is the source of this 2207-nucleotide RNA transcript. It is a transcript of the gene named cytochrome P450 6a2-like, with no coding region annotated. Lineage: Eukaryota; Metazoa; Arthropoda; Insecta; Coleoptera; Brentidae. The transcript has 9 exons. The record is from RefSeq and is a predicted model, not a curated record.
UCCAAGGCAAUGGUGCUCAUUGUUUUCCUAAUACCAAUACUUUCAUUCGUUGCGUAUUUCUACAUAAAAUAUAGGUACAGUUAUUGGAGCAAAAGAGGGGUCACCCAAAUUGAACCCGAAUUUCCGUACGGAAAUCUAAAGGAAACUAUAUUGAAGAGGCGCACCAUCGAUCAGAAUUUGACGCUUUUGCGAAACAAAUUUAAGCAACUCAACCAAAAACACGGUGGUAUUUAUCUAUUUUCCACUCCCAUAUGGAUCCCCGUCAGUCCCGAUAUGAUCAAAAACAUCCUCCAGAAAGAUUUCCAUCAUUUUACCGACCACUACAUCUACUACGACGAGAAGGAAGUUCUGACGAACAACAUCUUUCAUAUGGAAGGGGACAAAUGGAAGCAGAUGAGGACCAAGCUAUCUCCGGCCUUUACUUCUGGAAAAAUGAAGCAGAUGUUCGAUAUCGUUUACGCCUUGGGACAGGCCCUAGAACAAUUGGUCGACGAAAUGUACAGCGACUCGAAAAAGCCGUUCUGCAUCAGAGAGACUAUCGCAUGCUUUUCGACCGACGUGAUCGCAAACUGCGCGUUCGGCCUGGACCCCAAAUGUAUGGAAAAUCCGGACGCCGAGCUGAGGGUACACGGGAGAAAAAUCUUUGAACCGAGGAACUUGAAAUCGUUUCUCGAACAGUUUCUGCCGUGGAAGCUGUUGGCUUUCCUGGGGUACACGUUCUUGCCCAGUGAUUCUUCCAAGUUUUUCCACGAAAUGGUGAAAAACAUCGUAGAAUUUCGGGAGAAGAACCACGUGCACAGGAACGACUUCGUGCACUUUCUCCUUCAAUUGAAAAACAAGGGGAGGAUGCUCAACGACGGGGACAUUUCUAAGACCAACGAAGGCGUCAUCACCAUGAACGAUUUGGCGGCCAGCAUGUUCGUUAUAUUUGCUGGAGGAUUCGAGACUUCCGCGACGACCACCACCUUCAUGCUCUACGAACUAGCGCGCAACCAAGACGUCCAGAACAAGAUAAGGGAGGAAAUAAGAAAUAUCGUAAGGAACGAUCCUGAAGGAAAGCUAACGUACGAAGGUUUGCAGGAGAUGCACUACACCCAAAAAUGCAUUGACGAGUCGCUAAGAAUGUACCCGCCAUCGGGAUUGUUGCUUAGAAAGUGCACCAAAACCUACAAGGUGCCUGAUUCCGACGCCAUCAUCGAGAAGGGCACCCAAGUUUUCGUUCCGGUUAUGGCGGUGCAACGAGAUCCGGAUAUAUAUCCCGAUCCUGAUACGUUCAACCCGGAGAACUUCAGCGAAGAGAACAAGGCUAAGAGGGAACAAAUCUCCUGGAUGCCGUUCGGCGAGGGUCCCAGGCAAUGCAUCGGUCUUAGGUUUGGCUACAUGCAGGUGAAAAUUGCUCUGGCUGCGUUGCUUAGAAACCACAGGUACACCUUGAAUCCACUGACACCAGAAACGUUUACGUACCUCGUGGAUUCUCUGUCGCUAGCUACCAAAGAAGAAAUAUAUUUGGACGUCGAAAAUGUGGGGGCGGAUUAAUCGCUUUUGUUAAGAGAAUGUGACAACCAUGCUUUUGGCAUCCAUAGAAGAAUAGUUAGAAGCAUAGUCACGAAAAAAUAGAAGUUUUGCUGAUAUUACUGAAGUUUCGAGCAAACAAGCACUUCUACAGGAAACCUCUAAACAAUCCGAAUCUAGCGCGAAUUUCCAGGGUAAGAAACUACAGCGCAGGCUUCCAUCGAAAUAAUAAUAUGGUUUUGAUUGUAAGGCAGGUCGACGAAGACCUGGAAGACGAUUCUUCAUCAGAUGCUGAUUCGACUUCGUCGCUUAUGUAAUCUGCGUCACUUAGAUGGACUUAUAAGGCUAUAUCUCAGGUGGGUCGUUUAAAGAGUCUAAAAAGUUGUACACACUGUCUGCCAGGUAAUCACAGAAGUUUAUCAAAAUAAAUAAGAACUAAAAGUUCAGAUUUUCACGAAAUUAUAUAUUAUGACAUGACAAUUGUUUCGACAACACAGUGUCUUUAUCAAAUGUCACAUUUGAUAAAAUUUUGAUAAAUGGAUUUUCAUCAAGUAAAAGCCACCUCAGUUCAAUCACAGAUGUUUAAGUGCUCGGGGCAGAUUUGACCCCACGAUAGUAGCUCAGGGUUAACAUUUCCUGUUUCAUUUUUUAGAUUUUCGAAAAAUCAAACGGAUUUGGUAUUAUUCCAGCUUAAG